Molecule: long non-coding RNA, 1564 nt
Filed under: Brassica rapa (field mustard)
Lineage: Eukaryota; Viridiplantae; Streptophyta; Magnoliopsida; Brassicales; Brassicaceae
Description: long non-coding RNA (BRAP_LNC000205)
Source: RNAcentral
GUGGCUCAGUGACAUCAUCAGCAUCUGUGAAUACCGGGUUUGGAGCAGGUGGAUUGGGGUCUUAAGAUUUGACUUGAGUCACGCAGGAAAGACAUUAUCAACAGCAAGAAGACAAGGAAUGAACAUCCAAAAAGAAGAAAGGAGGUGAUCAUGUAGAGGCUAAUAGCUUGAAUUGGGCGCAGAGGUUGAAUAUUGCGGUCGGUGCAGCUCAAGGACUUUGCUAUAUGCAUCAUGAUUGUACUCCUGCGAUCAUACAUAGAGAUGUGAAAUCAAGCAACAUCUUGCUUGAUUAUGAAUUCAACGCCAAGAUUGAUUGCUGAUUUCGUGUUGGCUAAAUUGUUGGUUAAGCAAAACCAACAACCUCAUACCAUGUCAGCUGUUGCUGGAUCCUUCGGUUACAUUGCUCCAGGUAAUUGGCUCUAUUUGAAGUACGUUCAGGUGCUCAAGCCUUAGUCUAUAGGUCUAUGCUGUUAUUGUUUGACAAACUAUGAAUAAAAAUCGAGAAGCUUAACAUUUGUCAAAAAAAAUUUUAAAAAAAAAUUUAACUAUAUGUCAGUUACUAUGAUAAAAAACUUAUUUGAUUAAUAUUUAAUUAUAUAAUUUAUGUCUUUAACUUUUUACUAAAAUACUUUUCCAGAUAAUAAAACAAUAUAUAUAUAUAUAUAUAGAAAUUAUCUUUUUUUUUAAUUCUAUUUUUAGAUUUUGGUUAAUUUAAUAUUCUAUUUUUAAUUAUAUAAUUAAGAAUUUUAUUUGAUUAAUAUUUAGUUAAAUAAUUCAUGUUUUUAACUUUUUACUAAAAGAUUUUUUCAGAUAACAAUACAAUAUAUACAUAAAUUAUCUCUUUUUAAAAUUAUAUUUUCAGAUUUUGGAUAAUUCUUACUAUUAUUAAUUUUAAUCAAUAUAUAAAUUAUCUUUUUUAAUUAUAUUUUUAAUUUUGGUUAAUUCACUAUUCUAUUUUUAAUUAUAUAAUUAAGAAUUAGAUUUGAUUAAUAUUAGUUAUAUAAUUCAUGUUUUUAACUUUUUACUAAAAGAAUUUUUCAGAUAACAAUACAAUAUAUAUAUAAAUUAUCUUUUUUUUUUAAAUUAUAUUUUCAGAUUUUGGAUAAUUCUUAUUAUUAUUAAUUUUAAUCAAUUAUCUAAUCAAAUAAAUUAAGAUUUUGUUUUUAUUUUUUAAUUUAUUUAUACAUUUUAUUCAUUAAAGAUAUAAACGAUAUUAACCAUUCUGACUUUUAACGUGAGAGCUCGAUUCCAAAAAUUUAUUUCGUAAAUAAUAGUAUAGAUAGAUAAUCACAAAAACAUACUUUGGAAAACUUAUGGUUGGUGUUUCAAAAAAAAAAAAAAGGAAAACUUAUGGUUGAUGAUGCUCGAGUAACUUGAUUGGCAAGUUUCUCAAAUAGAUGUCUUUCCUUAUUUUUUUUUUGUAAAAAUUACGUAUAAAAGCGCUGAGAGCACGCCUUUGGGGUUAAUAAGCUUUGCUAAGAAGAUGGAAGAGAUCAAACUCACUUUCCCAGCCGACUCUCCACCGCUUUCGGUCAUCGUUGCUCUCUCCCUCUCAUCCUCUCCG